CAACGAGCGCAACCCUCGACCUUAGUUGCCAGCAUUCAGUUGGGCACUCUAAGGUGACUGCCGGCUAAAAGUCGGAGGAAGGUGGGGAGUGACGUCAAAUCAUCAUGCCCCUUAUGACCUGGGCUACACACGUGCUACAAUGGGCGGUACAAAGGGUCGCGAACCCGCGAGGGGGAGCCAAUCCCAAAAAGCCGCUCUCAGUUCGGAUUGCAGGCUGCAACUCGCCUGCAUGAAGCCGGAAUCGCUAGUAAUCGCGGAUCAGCAUGCCGCGGUGAAUACGUUCCCGGGCCUU
Molecule: ribosomal RNA, 292 nt
Filed under: uncultured Anoxybacillus sp.
Lineage: Bacteria; Bacillati; Bacillota; Bacilli; Caryophanales; Anoxybacillaceae
Description: partial 16S ribosomal RNA
Rfam family: Bacterial small subunit ribosomal RNA
Source: RNAcentral